Molecule: ribosomal RNA, 400 nt
Filed under: uncultured bacterium
Lineage: Bacteria
Description: bacterial SSU rRNA
Rfam family: Bacterial small subunit ribosomal RNA
Source: RNAcentral
UGGGGAAUCUUGGACAAUGGGGGCAACCCUGAUCCAGCCAUGCCGCGUGGAUGAUGAAGGCCUUAGGGUUGUAAAGUCCUUUUAACGGGGAAGAUAAUGACGGUACCCGUAGAAUAAGCCCCGGCUAACUUCGUGCCAGCAGCCGCGGUAAUACGAAGGGGGCUAGCGUUGUUCGGAUUUACUGGGCGUAAAGCGCACGUAGGCGGAUUGUUAAGUCAGGGGUGAAAUCCUGGAGCUCAACUCCAGAACUGCCUUUGAUACUGGCAAUCUAGAGUCCGGAAGAGGUGAGUGGAACUCCUAGUGUAGAGGUGGAAUUCGUAGAUAUUAGGAAGAACACCAGUGGCGAAGGCGGCUCACUGGUCCGGUACUGACGCUGAGGUGCGAAAGCGUGGGGAGCAAA